GACGCAGGAUGCAAGCGUUGUCCGGAAUGAUUGGGAGUAAAGCGUUCGCAGGCGGCUAUUCAAGUCUGCUGUCAAAGACCGGGGCUUAACCCCAGAGCGGCAGUGGAAACUGAAUGGCUGGAGUGCAGAUCGGGUAGAUGGAAUUCCCAGUGUAGCGGUGAAAUGCGUAGAGAUUGGGAAGAACACCGGUGGCGAAAGCCGCUUGCUGGCCUGCAACUGACACUGAGGGACGAAAGCUAGGGGAGCGAAAGGG
Molecule: ribosomal RNA, 253 nt
Filed under: uncultured bacterium
Lineage: Bacteria
Description: partial 16S ribosomal RNA
Rfam family: Bacterial small subunit ribosomal RNA
Source: RNAcentral